AGAGUUUGAUCCUGGCUCAGAAUGAACGCUGGCGGCGUGCCUAACACAUGCAAGUCGAGCGGUAAGGCCCCUUCGGGGGUACACGAGCGGCGAACGGGUGAGUAACGCGUGGGUAACCUGCCCAGAAGUGGGGGAUAGCCCCGGGAAACCGGGGGUAAUACCGCAUGUGCUCCUGCCGACGCAAGUCGGCUCUUGGAAAGGCGGGGAUCCUUCGGGACCUGUCGCUUCUGGAUGGGCCCGCGUCCGAUUAGCUAGUUGGUAGGGUAACGGCCUACCAAGGCGACGAUCGGUAGCCGGCCUGAGAGGGUGAACGGCCACAUUGGGACUGAGACACGGCCCAGACUCCUACGGGAGGCAGCAGUGGGGAAUUUUGGGCAAUGGGCGCAAGCCUGACCCAGCGACGCCGCGUGGAGGAUGAAGGCCUUCGGGUUGUAAACUCCUGUCAGGUGGGAAGAAAUCUCUGCCGGUGAAUAUCCGGCAGCGUUGACGGUACCACCAAAGGAAGCCCCGGCUAACUCCGUGCCAGCAGCCGCGGUAAUACGGAGGGGGCAAGCGUUAUUCGGAUUUACUGGGCGUAAAGCGCACGUAGGCGGCAUUGCAAGUCGUAGGUGAAAGCCCUCGGCUCAACCGAGGAAUUGCCUUCGAAACUGCGCUGCUUGAGUCCGGGAGGGGGGAGCGGAAUUCCCAGUGUAGCGGUGAAAUGCGUAGAUACUGGGAGGAACACCGGUGGCGAAGGCGGCUCCCUGGACCGGUACUGACGCUGA
RNAcentral lists this ribosomal RNA (764 nucleotides) under uncultured bacterium. RNAcentral's name for it is "bacterial SSU rRNA". It matches the Rfam family "Bacterial small subunit ribosomal RNA", at positions 8 to 749 of the family's 1533-position model. The record is from RNAcentral.